RNAcentral lists this ribosomal RNA (450 nucleotides) under uncultured Glomeromycotina. RNAcentral's name for it is "SSU rRNA". It matches the Rfam family "Eukaryotic small subunit ribosomal RNA", at positions 569 to 1023 of the family's 1831-position model. Lineage: Eukaryota; Fungi; Glomeromycota. The record is from RNAcentral.
AGCAGCCGCGGUAAUUCCAGCUCCAAUAGCGUAUAUUAAAGUUGUUGCAGUUAAAAAGCUCGUAGUUGAAUUUCGGGGUUAGUAGGUUGGUCAUGCCUCUGGUAUGUACUGGUCUCACUGAUUCCUCCUUCCUGAUGAGCCUUAAUGCCAUUAAUUUGGUGUUUUGGGGAAUUUGGACUGUUACUUUGAAAAAAUUAGAGUGUUUAAAGCAAGCUAACGCUUGAAUACAUUAGCAUGGAAUAAUGAAAUAGGACGUUCGAUCCUAUUUUGUUGGUUUCUAGGAUUGACGUAAUGAUUAAUAGGGAUAGUUGGGGGCAUUAGUAUUCAAUUGUCAGAGGUGAAAUUCUUGGAUUUAUUGAAGACUAACUACUGCGAAAGCAUUUGCCAAGGAUGUUUUCAUUAAUCAAGAACGAAAGUUAGGGGAUCGAAGACGAUCAGAUACCGUCGUAG